Molecule: long non-coding RNA, 729 nt
Organism: Alosa alosa (allis shad)
Lineage: Eukaryota; Metazoa; Chordata; Actinopteri; Clupeiformes; Clupeidae
Exons: 2
Source: RefSeq, a predicted model, not a curated record
AUGUGUGUGUAAAUAAGGGACUGGAUCAGACACACCCCAUAUUACCUUGUAUGGGACAGGGUCUUAGUGAUAUAAUUUCAGUCUGGACAGCAACUGCUGGCAGCCAACUAGUCAAGGGCAAAAGGGACAUGGCUUUAUGAUCCAAGGGGACUUAUGUGGGAAGAGGAUACUGCCAGCAGUAAAUGCUUAGGAGGAGGGUUGAAAGCUCGCUGUCACACUAGAAAUAAAUCACUUACAAGUGGAAGUCUUAACAAGCUGCUGAUAUCCACAAAAUGACAAGGAGAGAAGUUGUGGAUCUCACAGCACUGGCCAAACCCCCUCCACAUCACAGGUAUGACCCUUAGGUCAUCGACUCUUAAAUGCAGUUUCUCUUCAUACGCAUAAAUAUUUCAUUACCAGGGUUUGAACAUAGUUAUACUUGUUAUCCAGGGAUAUUUAUAGGGGCCAUUUCUGUCAUAAUUAGAUGUCAAAUAAACUAAAUAACAGCAUUGUUUGUUACCAUUAAUAAUAAUGAUAUGAAUACUGUCAUUAAUGGUAACUGCUGCUUUGAAGGGAGUUAAUCCACAGCUUUAACUGGUUCUGAAUUAUUUCCAGAUUUCCAGAAGUAUUUGGAAACACAAAGAAUGAAGAAGCUGUUUCAAAAUGUAACUGAAUGUGACAGUGUCUGAUGUCUGAACUUCUGUUGCUUCCUGCUAGCUGAAGAAAAUAAAGCCUGUUUCCAGCUUUCCA